Molecule: ribosomal RNA, 440 nt
Filed under: uncultured bacterium
Lineage: Bacteria
Description: partial 16S ribosomal RNA
Rfam family: Bacterial small subunit ribosomal RNA
Source: RNAcentral
CCUACGGGAGGCAGCAGUGGGGAAUAUUGGACAAUGGGGGAAACCCUUAUCCAGCGACGCCGCGUGAGGGAAGAAGGUUUUCGGAUUGUAAACCUCUGUCAGUGGGGACGAUAAUGACGGUACCCACGGAGGAAGCCACGGCUAACUACGUGCCAGCAGCCGCGGUAAUACGUAGGGGGCAAGCGUUAUCCGGAUUUACUGGGUGUAAAGGGAGCGCAGGCGGCGUGGCAAGUCAGAUGUGAAAACCCGGGGCCCAACCCCGGGAGUGCAUUUGAAACUGCCAUGCUGGAGUGCCGGAGAGGUAAGCGGAAUUCCUAGUGUAGCGGUGAAAUGCGUAGAUAUUAGGAGGAACACCAGUGGCGGAGGCGGCUUACUGGACGGUAACUGACGCUGAGGCUCGAAAGCGUGGGGAGCAAACAGGAUUAGAUACCCGUGUAGUC